UACAGAGGGUGCAAGCGUUAAUCGGAAUUACUGGGCGUAAAGCGCACGUAGGUGGAUAUUUAAGUCGGAAGUGAAAGCCCUGGGCUUAACCUGGGAAUUGCCUCCGAUACUGGAUAUCUAGAGUAUGGUAGAGGAUAGUGGAAUUUCCGGUGUAGCGGUGAAAUGCGUAGAUAUCGGAAGGAACACCAGUGGCGAAAGCGGCUAUCUGGACCAAUACUGACACUUAGGUGCGAAAGCGUGGGGAGCAAACAGG
This 253-nucleotide ribosomal RNA is filed under the name uncultured bacterium. RNAcentral describes it as "partial 16S ribosomal RNA". It matches the Rfam family "Bacterial small subunit ribosomal RNA", at positions 524 to 776 of the family's 1533-position model. The record is from RNAcentral.